UGGGGAAUUUUGGACAAUGGGCGAAAGCCUGAUCCAGCAAUGCCGCGUGUGCGAAGAAGGCCUUCGGGUUGUAAAGCACUUUUGUCCGGAAAGAAAUCCGCCUGGCUAAUACCCGGGCGGGAUGACGGUACCGGAAGAAUAAGCACCGGCUAACUACGUGCCAGCAGCCGCGGUAAUACGUAGGGUGCGAGCGUUAAUCGGAAUUACUGGGCGUAAAGCGUGCGCAGGCGGCUUUGUAAGACAGAUGUGAAAUCCCCGGGCUCAACCUGGGAACUGCAUUUGUGACUGCAAGGCUAGAGUGCGUCAGAGGGAGGUGGAAUUCCGCGUGUAGCAGUGAAAUGCGUAGAGAUGCGGAGGAGCACCGAUGGCGAAGGCAGCCUCCUGGGAUGACACUGACGCUCAUGCACGAAAGCGUGGGGAGCAAACA
Molecule: ribosomal RNA, 427 nt
Filed under: uncultured bacterium
Lineage: Bacteria
Description: bacterial SSU rRNA
Rfam family: Bacterial small subunit ribosomal RNA
Source: RNAcentral